Jaculus jaculus (lesser Egyptian jerboa) is the source of this 107-nucleotide small nuclear RNA. The record is from Ensembl. NCBI's taxonomy places the organism in Eukaryota, Metazoa, Chordata, Mammalia, Rodentia, Dipodidae.
GUGCUUUCUUUGGCAGCACAUAUACUAAAAUUGGAAUGAUGCAGUGAAGAUUAGCAUGGCCCCUGAGUAAGGAUGACAUACAAAUUUGUGAAGUGUUACAUUAAAAU